Streptomyces rubellomurinus is the source of this 75-nucleotide non-coding RNA. It matches the Rfam family "ASpks TB sRNA". The record is from Rfam. NCBI's taxonomy places the organism in Bacteria, Bacillati, Actinomycetota, Actinomycetes, Kitasatosporales, Streptomycetaceae.
CUUGAUCGAGCCGAGUCGCAGCGGCCGCUCGGCCGGCCGGUUCCGGCCGUAGGUGGCGAGCAGGGCCUGGGCCUC